GUGUGUGUGUGUGUGUGUGUGAGAGGACGUUCUGCUCGUGUCUUUAUUAGGAACAUCAUCUGUCUGGAGGCAGAGAGAUGGACGUGUAAGCUCCACUGACUCUUCUCAAGGGUCCAGGAUGGAUCCUCUGUUCUCGUUAGGAAGCAAGUUCUCGUCUGGAUCUUUUAGUCUCUGUAAACACUCCCGGUUGGGAAUCUCUGGAGCUCCCAGCGGAGAACUCCAUCACACAUCUGACAUUAAAACAAUUCUCAUCAUUCUUCUUAUGUUGUAUUUAAAAAUCAUAUCCACUCUUUAUUUGCAAUCUCAUGAUGAACGUGAUCGACUGGCAGCGGGGUCAGAUGAUGAUGAUGAUGAUGAUGAUUGUCAUGAUCUGAUCUCGGUUCAUCAGGUGUGUUUAUAAAUCAGUAAACAGCUGUGUAUGUGAUUAGGAUCUUCACCUUCUGAGUUUAAACAGACUCCUGGUGUGGGAACAGUUUCAGAUAUUUUAAUAUUUCAGUUCGACAGAAGUUUUUCCAAACUGAUUUUAAAGGUUUAAAAUCUUUUACUUGUGGGGAAACUUGUUGGAUAUGGUUUUUGCUCAUUUGUAUAAAGGCAUCUGUUGAAAAGAGAAAAUGUAUGGCUUUGAUUCAUGUCUGGAUCUCUGUAAAGUGAAGAUAUUGAACCGAAUUAAAGGUGGAUCUGGAUUCAAGAGCGUCAGAUUCUCUGUGAACCGAAGGUAAGACUCAUUAAUACACAGAAGAUCCAUGUUUAUUCCUCACGUAAAAUAAGUCUUCAAGACAAGAUCUUGACUGUGUGCUUCAGAAAUAUUUUACCCUGGCAAUGUACAGCUCAAGUUGACGCUUAAGUUUAGGUUUUUUUAAAUGAAGAAAACAUCUGGAAACAAUGAGAUUAACAGUAAAUAAUCUACACUUUAUUAAUGGUAUUCACAAAAAGUUUAUUAUUUUUAAAUAAAGAAUCUGCACACAAGCUGAAACCUGAGCAGCACCACGUGGUUCAACUUUGAGAAGGGAUGGUUGUAACCAUCUGUACAUAAUUCAAGCACUGGUUAUUAUACAUUAUACCUUUUUUAAAUCAUUUCUCAAUCUGUUAAUCAAAAUCAAUCUGUACAGGAGCUGCCAACCAUAUUUAUCUGUUUAUCCAUUUAAAUCUCUGAUGCAUUAUGAGCGCUGUUGGGGAAAGAUUCUUUAAAAAGUAAUAUAUUACAAUAUUGGGAUACUCCUUAAAACGUUACUAAUUAAGUAAAUUAGUUGCUUUUUAUGGAAAGUAAUGCGUUAUGUUACUUUUGAGUUACUUUUAAAAUCUGGGCAGGGCUUGCUUGUUUGUUUUUAAUAUAAAAAAGUCAUUUUACAAAUGUAAAUACAGUUUCAUAUCAAAAGUGAAGUGAAUCCUCCUCAGGCUGAAGGAAGUGAAAGCUCUGGUCUGUACAGUAGAGGGCGCACAUCAAACUAAUCACAUGAAGAAUAUGACGCAGAAGAAGAAAGAUCAACUCUAACUAAAAUUACUAUAUAAAUAACUGAUAUUUUCUUCUAAAUUAAGCAUUGUGUUACUUUUACUAGUUGAAAAAGUAAUCUAAUUAUGUAACUUGGUAACUUGUUGGUAACCAGUGUUGGGAAAGUUCACUUUCUACAUGGACUAGUUCAAAGUUCAAUCCACAAAUUUUAAAAUGAACUAGUUCAGUUCAUAGUUCUUUUUUUCCAUAUGUUGCUGUGAGCUAUUUUUCAAAAUUAUUGCCACAUCCCACAUAGAAUCACAGACAGCAAUUAUUUUUAUCAGUUUUUAACAAUGAAGCUAUGCGUCAGAUUUCAUCUUCAUAUCCAAUUUUGAAUCCUUAUCCAACCAGGGUUUACAUUAGCAUUGAGGGGACAGCACUUCCCCCUUGUUGCUUUAAUGCUUUGUCUCCCAUUCUCACCGACCUUGUCAUAAACAUCAUAAAAUUCUUUUAAAUGAUCAUACGCCUUCUUGCUACCAUAGACAGUAAAAGAAAUGGACACAGCUACCCCAUUGGAACUCAAUUGAGACAAGUGAUGCCCAUUUUUAGCGUUUUUUAGCACUUCCGUUUCUGACGCGCAGACUCAAACGAAGCUUGACGACGUCAGCAACCUGUCUGACAGAUGUAAAUCUUCUAGUAGCUGUGCGUGCAAACUGCCAUCGUUAAUCUUGCAGAGACGGCGAGCUUGAGCGGGGAGUUCUUUGUCGUGAGUGAGCAGGAGUAAGUAUUCUGAUUAAUUAUUUUGUAUAGUAUUUUAAAAUGUAACGCCAGUACGCCAUAUUAAGUUAAUUGCCUGCGAGCUUCUCCUCCUGUCUGUACGGUAAUGCGACAGAGAGACGAGUGGUUAUGACGCAAUCGUUAGCCUAUUUUUUACAAAAAGUGUUUCUACGGGGCCAUAAUGUAACAUAGAAGGUAAUGGAGCCCUUUAUACAUUGUCCUGUAUCUUUAGAAAUAAAUAAUGGACAAACAGAGUCUUUAAACGCCUCAGAUGUAAAGUUAUUCACUGUCAAAGUGACGCCAAAAUGAAUGGGAGUCAAUGGGAAUGCUAACGCAAGUGAAGUUCUGCUAAAAGAUGGCAGCCCCCACCCGACUUCAACUUCCGGUCGAGUUCCUUGCCGCCUGGUUGCUACAUGCUGCUGUUUUUUUGAUGACGCGUCACACAUGCAGCGGACGGCGGUGUGACACUGGUGGCUGGUGUUGCCAGAUUGGGUGUUUUUCCGCUACAUAUUAAGACCCGUUUACGGUGUGUUUUAGCCGGGUUUUCGCCUGAAAGGCUCUAUAGAAAUCUGGCACCCUAUUGAACGAAGUUAACCUGAGAGAGCGUGCCGUUCACAGACACCAGAAUGAACAAGUUGACAGUAACAUUCAUCAGGCAUUAAUACAGCACGUUCAGUUCACGUUCGCCCAAAAUAUGAACGAGUUCAUGAAAAAUCCUUCAAUGAACGCGUUUAGGCACAACACUGCCCCCAACACUGAUCACGACAGACACCUGAUAAAGUUCUGCUGGAUUUCUGUUGUGUUGAAGGACGGUCGC
Molecule: long non-coding RNA, 3023 nt
Organism: Carassius auratus (goldfish)
Lineage: Eukaryota; Metazoa; Chordata; Actinopteri; Cypriniformes; Cyprinidae
Source: Ensembl